This 510-nucleotide ribosomal RNA is filed under the name uncultured bacterium. Its description in RNAcentral is "bacterial SSU rRNA". It matches the Rfam family "Bacterial small subunit ribosomal RNA", at positions 28 to 534 of the family's 1533-position model. The record is from RNAcentral.
GACGAACGCUGGCGGCGUGGAUUAGGCAUGCAAGUCGAACGGUAGGAUACCUUCGGGUAUCUGAGAGUGGCGAACGGGUGAGUAACACGUAGGUGAUCUACCCUCAAGAUUGGGACAACCCAGGGAAACUUGGGCUAAUACCGGAUGAAAGCAGCAGUGAUGUUGUUUGAAAGGUGGCGUAAGCUGCCGUUUGGGGAUGAGCCUGCGCUCUAUUAGUUAGUUGGCGGGGUAAAGGCCCACCAAGGCGAUGAUAGAUAGGCGGCCUUAACGGGUGGUCGCCCACACUGGGAUUGAGAUACGGCCCAGACUCCUACGGAGGCAGCAGUCGAGAAUAGUCUACAAUGGCCGAAAGGCUGAUAGUGCGACGCCGCGUGAACGAAGAAGCCCUUCGGGGUGUAAAGUUCUUUCGGCCGGAAGAAAUCGUAUGGGCUAAACCCUGUGCGGAUGACGGUACGGCAUAAGAAGCACCGGCUAACUACGUAGCCAGCAGCCGCGGUAAGACGUAGCGUG